RNAcentral lists this long non-coding RNA (1414 nucleotides) under Marmota monax (woodchuck). The record is from RNAcentral. Lineage: Eukaryota; Metazoa; Chordata; Mammalia; Rodentia; Sciuridae.
CCAUUCCCCUGACCCUCUCAAGGGCAUCACAUGGGCCCUUCCUGAGGAUGGGGCUAAAUCCCUGCUGCCUCCAGGAAGACUCUGCCUCGAACAUUCAGAGUCAGCAGCCCUUGUGGGAGAGCAAAAGGAAGAAGGCUGUGUUGGGCAAGGUCCCCUCGUGUGAUUUAUUACAAGUCUGAGGUCUCUGACGAGCUCAGAGCAGAGACCUGGAACCCAGCCACAGAUCCCUGGAGAGAUCUGGGGGUGCCACAUGGGAGUGUGGAGCCCGAGAGGAACCCUCUUCAGGAGGAGCAGAGAGUGUCGCAGAUGUGAAUGGUCAGUCUCAGGACCUGGGACGGAAACGAUCUUGCCUUUGAAAUAGACUCAAGGAUCAUGCAGUUAAGAGCUUUCCAGAAAGCCUUGGGACAGAAAGAGAUGAGACUAGGUUGUGAUCCUUUAAAGGGAAGCUGCAUCUGUGGUCUCCUACCGCUGAAGGACAAUGACAGUGACUGAAAUAUUUGCUCAACACAGGCUCCCCCGAUGCCUCUGGAACACAGGAGCACUUUCACCCAUCCAGAAGGAGGGGUUGAAAAAAGGAGGAAAGAAGAGGGUGGUCCAGAAUGUAGGCUAGCUUCUCGCUGAGCUCUCUCAUUUGUGUCUGGUUGAACAAACCAGCCAGGAGCUGGAAGGGAGGCUGCAAAUGUCAGAUGGGUGGUGUCUUAGUCCAUUUUUUUGUGGCUAUAACAGAAUACCUGAGACUGGGUGAUUUAUAAAGAAAAAAGGUUUAUCUGGGCUCAUGGUUCUUCUGGUGAGGACUUGUGCUCCGUCAACCCAUGGUGGAAAGUGAAAGGACAAGCAGGAGCACUGGCAAGAGAGAACCCAAGGGCAUAAGGUGCUCCCCAGCCCACCUCCCAGUCUUGGUGGUGACCACCUACACUCAGGACACACAGACAGAGUGGGCGGUGAGGGGGAGUUUGCCUGAAAGGAGAGGAAGCCAGGAUAGGGAGGUUCCUUCCACAGAAUCUAAAAUGCAAUUUGCAAAGUGGGCGAGGCUGUCAGGGAAAAUGCCCGAGGCACCCCCAAGACCCCCUCCGGAAGAUCCUGGGAGAGAUUGACAAGAGAAAGCCCCUCCCACGAGGAUCAGCCACACCUGGCUCCCUGGGACCCCAUGGCUCACUGUGAGGUGAGGCCCCGACUGCCGCCCCAGGGACACCCGUGGACGGGGAGCUCCUCCCCAGGGCCGGGCGACCUUCCUGGUGUAUCCCAGUCCCCAGCGCGGCACCACUGUGCAAGGUCCUUGUGGCCCCUCGUGACCAAUGGAGGUCCCCUCGCCCGCCCGACUCCCCCCUCCUGGGGCCGCAAGAGAGAAGCGAUCUUCUGGGUGGAGAUCAAGGUCUCAGCCCAGAUGGACCCUGGGGAGCUGGGGACUGGAGAU